This 33906-nucleotide long non-coding RNA is filed under the name Triticum aestivum (bread wheat). Its description in RNAcentral is "long non-coding RNA (TAES_LNC022761)". The stretch from base 15531 to 15665 matches the Rfam family "MIR1120/MIR1122 microRNA precursor family". Lineage: Eukaryota; Viridiplantae; Streptophyta; Magnoliopsida; Poales; Poaceae. The record is from RNAcentral.
GAUCUCGUCCCGAGAUCUAGGAUGGCACCAGAGAGAAACAAAAGAGGAAGAGAAGAGGUAAAACUAAGUUGCUUCUUCGACAAACGAGUGAAACCAUGAACCUUGAGAGGUUGAGCAAUUAAGAAGAAAGAGUACAACAGAGAUGAACGGGAUUGCAAACAAUCCGUUAGAAAAGAGGAACAAGGAACAUUACGAGAACUUGAAGGUUGUGAAGACAUGAAUGACGAGCACAAAGGACAAGAAGGAAUUGAAACCAAUCUGGUUGAAACGAGAUAAGAAUGAAUAAGAAUGAUAUAAUUUGGCAGCACUCCGACUAUAAAUGGAAGGAAUUGAACAUGAACUUGAGAAGAUGGGAUGAUACUUGAUGAAAUCAACAACACACUGCCUCCGGAACUAUUGAAAAAAAUGGCACAAGGGGUAAGAAAGAUUUCAGACAGCACUCCGGUUGAAAAGAUAUGCAAGACUUGAUAAGAUGAAAAGAACUUGAAUGAAAACACGACACUCCGGCUAAAUGGAGAAGCAAGGAGAAGAACAUGAUCUUGACAAAACAAGAUGAUGGGAGAAGAGAGCAACAUCACAAUGUCUUCGGGACGAAAGAAUAGAAGCUAGAUCAUUGUGAUAAAGGGGACGGAGAAGGAAAUGACAAUUUCUGCCACAAAUGAACUUGGAAAGGAUCCUUGCAAAGUACUCCCUCCGUUCCAAAAUAGAUGACUCAGCCUUGUACUAAGUUUAGUACAAAGUUAAGUCAUUUAUUUUGGAACGGAGGGAGUAGGACUUAACGGAGUUGUUGGAAAAUCAACAACAAAAAGCACAAGCUUGUUGUGGGCUUAUGGAAAACAUCUCAACACUUGAGGUGAAAUUCUGCCACUAACGAAAAACAAUUGCUUGAGAUCAAUGAAGAGAUGAAAAAAUCUCUUUCACCGAGAAGGAUAUGGAGAAAGCUUGGAUCAAUGAUAAGCACCACAAAUACCAACAUUCCCAAUGGAAGGCUUUAGGUGAAAUAUGACAUAAGAUAACUCCAACGAAGAGAUUAAUGGAUUUAAAAUACCUCAUUCUUGACAACUUGAAUCAUGAAGGAAAAUUGUCAAGAGUGACAUAACACCACCUCAAAAGAUAAGGUAGAAAGAGUUGCACUUCGAAAUGCAAGAAGAAGAAUACUUGAACGCCUCAAAACAAAACAUGUGUUAAGCACCAUGUUUAUUUUGAAGUAUGGCUUGACGGAUCAUAACUUCAAGAGAAAUCUUGAAGAAUAAAACGAGAAUGAAAGGAAUCCUUGAUGAACCACCAUGGAGAGCCUCCAUGAAGAACUCCGGUAAUAAAAAGGAUGAUAGAAAGAAAGAGAAGUUGAAAACACAAGGUGAAACCUUACGAUGAUUUAGAUGGAGCUACGAAAUGAGAUAAAGUGGAAAACUUGGAACUCCGGAAAAUAAAAGAAUUGAGUCACUUCGAGGAAAUAAGAAUAAGAUUUAUUGUAUGCUUAUCCUUCUCCAAUUUAAAUUGAUGACAAGCAACAGAUUUGGCAUACUACUUAUUCUCGUAGAAAGGAUUAAGAGAGUUAUAGUGUGAACUUCAGAAGGUAUUGAUGGAACCAUCGGUGGGAUUAAAAAGAACAAAUGAAUUGAUAUGAUAACAAAGGAAGAGAAAUCCUGAACGAAAUACCGUAAAAAUAGGAAAAGAGAGUAGCAAGGGCACAAUUCACCGGGAAGAAUUAGAAAACGAAUGAAGAUACUUGAGGGGAUUUAGAUACAAGAGAGCGAAGAGAUCACGAGCUGAUUAGAGACCACUUGAGCGAUGCACCGGUAAGAUAUGGAGAAGGAGAGCUAAAAGCUGAGAAUGAAUAAACCUGAAAUGAUGGCCUUCGUAGGAAUAAAACGGAAAGAACUCAUGAAAUGCUCCGGAUGGUAAGAAAAGAAUUGUCACAAUCAAAACAAUUAUGAGGAUGGCAUGAAGCUAGAACCAUGAAUCUCUGGAAGAACGGGUAAGGAUUUAAGAGGAACUCUUCUUCGGUCUUCAAAUGUUGAGAAUGAUGAUGAGAACCACCAUGAAUUGUUGAUAUACUCCGGGAGAAUGAAAAGCGAAGAGGUUGAGCCAACAAUGAAAAUAAUUUGAAAGCAAUCUUGGAGAAGCAUGUGACUGAUGGGGUCCAUUCUUACGUCACGCUUAAAAAGGAAUAUGAGAAUAACUCCGGGAGAAUUAGAAGAGUCAGGUAAGAUCCUGGAAAAAGACCUGUGGGUUAGGGCCCACUAAAAAUAAAAUACCGUUGGAAAUGAUUUUACAAGGAGAUUGCACUGGUUGAAUUAAAUGGCUUGAAUGAGAUAAUAAUCUCCAAAUAGCUUGAACGGAUUGAGAAUGGAAACACAAGUCUUCCGAGAUAUCUUCAGCACUCCAGAACAAAUGAAUAGCGAGAAGUGAAAGAUUAAGAGGUGCACCAGUAUGAAAAAGCAUGUGACACGAGGAAAAGAAUAUGAUCAACACUAAAAGCAUGAAAUUAAUCCACCGGAGAAGAAACAACAAUGAAGGACGAUGAACUUGAAACUCAUGAGCAUCUUCACAAGGGAUCACCAGAUCAGAACAUUGAUUGAAAAGAGUGAAGAGACUUCACAUGAAUAAAAGGAUACUUGAUUAAGAAAUCUGGAUCCUUGAAUAAAAAGGGUGGGAGGGCGGGAAAGCAAAGGCAACUUGGGUAUGGAUGAAAUGAACAACGUUGGGAAAAUUAAGACGUGAUCUUGCGAAUGUUGAAAUGAUCGGAUCCACUUGAAAAGAAGCACACCGGUUGAAAAGAAUUGACAUGAUAAUCUCGAUGAUCAAAAGGAUUAGCACUCCCAUAGAAAUAUGAGAACACCAUUUAAGAAAGGUAUGGAUUCAACAUUUGACUCGAAGCAACUCGAAUACCACAAAUAAAACAAAACAAAGGAUUGGCUUGCAUAAUAAGCCGGAAACAAACAUACGAUAGAUCCCAUAUCAUAUCAUGUGUCUGUUGGAAAGAUAAAACUAGAGCUACUUGAAUUCCCACCUAUAAAACUCCCGAAACUUUCUGGUUAUGCAAUCUGGUGUUGGGGAUACAGGGGAAGCAAUAUAUCUCACGCAAACUAACAAUCCCUACAUCCAGCUGUAUCCAUCCGUCAACACAUAACCAAGAAACCUUCGGAAAUCGUGUACCUCAACCUUCGAAGAGCAUUCGUUAUACGAGUUAUGGCAAUACUCCCGAGCUCGCCCCAGUACUGGGUUAUCGAGGUUAUCUCACCAACAACUGCAUAAAAGAGAUUUUCGAUGUCGGCAAAACUCAGGUAUUCCAGAACUGCAACGAUAAAAUUGUGACGACAACACCUCAGAGCUCGACUCCCCGGGUCAAAGCCACAUAAAUAGACAGGAGGCACCAAGAACAAUGUUCUCGUCACAAAACCAUCGAAACGAUUCCAAGAUACCCGCAUGAUCCUAAAAAAAAUUAGUGAAAUUUGAGGAGAGGAAAGUCAAAACAUGUACGUCAGGAGACCUCACCAGAGCGACGAAGGGGGCUGAGGAGUAAAAAGAAUCCUACUCUCCGAUAUAUAUAAUCCUAAGCCUCAAAAUAGUUUUCUUCUAGACUCAACAACGGCCAACAAUCAAGGGGGCUCCUAGGGUUGGUUGAGGCUCUGAUUACCAACUUGUCACGCCCAAUAUGCGACCAUAUCCAAAAGGAACUCGAAGGUCCCACCAAGGAUAAACCCGCAUAUUGAAACGCUUUUGCAAGGUGGAUAUCAUUACAUCAACAUUACAUAAUAGAUGGGGAUACAUACAUAAGGCAUGCAAUGCCACAUGAAUACAACAUCACAAUACAUAAGAGCAUCAUCCGACUAUGGAUGAAUCACAAACAGAAACUCAAAUGACAUCCACCCUGCUAGCCCAGGCUGCCGACCUGGAACCUAUCCCCUGAUAGAAGAAGCAGAAGAAGAAGUCAAUGCAAGCAAGCAUCGCUCUCGCGUCAUGAUCAUCGCGAAACCUGUACCUGCAACUGUUGUGGUAGUAAUCUGUGAGCCACGAGGACUCAGCAAUCCCAUUACCAUGGGUAUUAAGACUAGCAAAGCUUAAAGGGAAAGGAAGGGGUAAAGUGGUGAGGCUGCAGCAGCGACUAAGCAUAUAUGGCGGCUAACAUACGCAAAUAAGAGCAAGAAGAGAAGCAAAGGAACGGUCGUCAACUAGCAAUGAUCAAGAAGUGAUCCUGAACUCCUACUUACGUCAAACAUAACCCAGAAACCGUGUUCACUUCCCGGACUCCGCCGAAAAGAGACCAUCACGGCUACACACACGGUUGAUGCGUUUUAAUUCGGAUCUGGUGUCAAGUUGUCUACAACCGGACAUUAACAAAUUCCCAUCUGCCUAUAACCGCAGGCACGACUUUCGAAAGAUUAUACCCUGCAGGGGUGUCCCAACUUAGCCCAUGACAAGCUCUCGCGAUCAACGAAGGAAUAGACCUUCUCCCAGGAAGACCCGAUCAGACUCGGAAUCUCGGUUUACAAGACAUUUCGACAAUGGUAAAACAAGACCAGCAAAGCCGCCCGAUGCAUGAACAAAAGGGGGUUUUCUGCAAAUCUGUCAACACUGGAUAAUAGACAAAAUCGCCGGUCAGGAAAAAAACAUGCAUAGGCGAAAUCUGCUGGGCCAACAGCAUACAGGAGAGGGCUGGGGGGUCUGCUCACCCUGGGCCAAGGCCCGGUUCGGCGAAGAGAGGCCGGUUUGCUGGGCCUUGGAGGCCGAAUCGGUGGAGGAAGAAGCUGGGCCGCAGGGGCUGCAGCUGGGGAGGCCCACGCUGGGGGGCGCAGCCCACGUGGCCGGCUGGCCCAUGCAUGGAGGCGCAGUGAGCGGGCGAGCUCGUCCUCCCCAUGCGCCCGCACGAGCAGGAAGGAGGACGGCGACCAUGGUAGCGAUCGACGGCGGCUCGAUGACGGAAGGCGCGAAGGAGGCCCUGGAGGCAUGAAUCCGGACGAGAUCCAUCCGAUCCAUCCGUUCCCGGCGCCGCUGGGGGGAUCCGGCGAGCUUGGCGGCAAUGGAGCUCCAUCGGGCUCCGCCAUGGGGGUUGAGCUCCUGCAGAGGAACACAAGGAGAGGGAGGGCGCUGAGAGAGAGGGAGGAAAAAGGACAGAGGAGAGGAGGAGGGCGACAGAGCUGGCCUGGCAUGGCCGUCGAGGUGGCCGGCGGCGGGGGAGGCUGGCGGCGGCGAUGAGGACGCGGGAUCGAGGGGUCCUCCCCUCGAUCCAGAACGUGAGCGGGAGGCGCGGGGCGCUCGGGCCCAGAUCGGUCUGUGGCGGGCCUCCCGCGGGCCUGGCGGGCCGCGGCGGCGCUGGGAGGCAGGGGGACAGGUGGCGCAAGGGGAGUGGGCGAGGGAGGCUGCACGGUGGCGGCGCAACCAAUGGCUAUGCGCCAAGUGGCGGAGGCGAGGUGGCCGGCGCGGAUCUGUAGGAGGGGGCGGCGGCUGCAAGGUGGGAGGUGGCUGGCGGCACGAAAAACGAGGAGGAGGGAGGAGAAGGCCAAAAAUGGCAUGGGGAGGUGUUUAAAUAGGCUAGGGGGCUAGGGUUAGGAGGGUUAGGAGGUGUUUCAGGACCCUCGGAUCACGAUCAGACGGUCCGGAGCGGAGAGGGGGACUAGGUGGCUGCAGGUGGGCUGUGUAGGAUGCCUCGAGCUGAGAAGAGAGAGAAACAGAGCGACCCGGUGGCAGCUUCCGGAUACCGAAAACGUCCGACGCUAGACCGGCUAUAGUGCGGCUAUAUAUUUAAUGGUUGGGCUAUCAAAUGGACUCCGAAUGCAACGAAACUUGGCAGGCGGUCUGUCUACACUAUAAUAAGACCGCACGACAAGUUGCAACCCAUUCCGAGAACAUUUUUAUGCCACUUAUAAAAUAAUAUUUCGGAGGUGCCGCGGGCGCGUGCAAGUGUGUCUGGCUCAGAACGGACAACGGAGAGAAUCGGGGAAACCCGAACGGAUGCAAGUUUUAUGAAAACAUAUGGAUGCGAUCACAUGAUGCUAUGAGAUGAGAUGCAUAACAAGAACAAAAUGCAAAACAAACAACAAAAACCCAACCACGAAGGAAAUAUCAUAUAGCAUCUCCGGAAAAGGCAAGAGUUGGAGUUACGAAUAUGGAAAGUUGUAUCCGGGGCGUUACACUACUGCUCUGCUGGUGCUACGGGGUCCUCUCCUGAAGCGGACUCGGAUCCUGAACUGACGAGGUUAACGGAGACCUCCGGGUUAAAGGUAACACGAUGACGCUGCCUCGAGGGCUCUCUCUCAGGGGCAGGUGUAGGGUGAAGCAUCGGGGCUACAUGAGUAGUGAGAAGUGAAGCCCACUCAGCAGGAGCACUAAGAGGAUUCACGGUCGACACUACAAAAAAAAUACACUUCCAUGAUGAUACGUGUUUGUCAUAGUAGGUCGCGUUUUUUGUCAUGCAUGUACAUCCAUGACAAAUUUAUGACAGAGUCGAGAUAGUCAUACCUAUGCUGUCGUAGAAGUGUUCGAUGACAUUACCAAAAUUAUCAUCAUGGAAGUGUCCACUUCCAUGACGAUAAAUCACACGUCACAGAAGUGCUUUCGUCAAGGGUGACCGACACGUGGCAUCCACCGUAACGGAAUGCCGUUAAGCUAUCGGGUUGGGUUUUGGAUCCGAUAACCCGUUAACAGCCCCGACCAAUGGGGAUUUUCCACGUGUAAAAUCAUCAUUGGCUGGAGGAAACACGUGUCGGCUCAUUGUUGGGACAGAUGUCAUCCACUCAUUGGACAGAAGGCGCCUAUGAUACAUCGACACGUGGCACGGCCCAACAGAGGCCCAUUCCUGUGAAAAGGCCGGCCCAUUUGACUUGGUCAAAAGGUGACGGGCCGGCCCAUGGAAAGCCUGUUAACGGCCUGUUCGCAUAUAGCCCAUUUACAGCCCGCUAACCCAAGGCCCGUUAUGCCCUAUCCGAAUUAGGCCCAGUAGCAUCAUCUGGGCCAUCCAAUAUGAUUCCAGUCUGUUUUCACUUCUGGCCCAUGUAUGGCCCAUGACAUCUUUCGGCCCAUAUGAGGCCCUAUGUAACUCUUGGCCAAUUAACAACCCGUGGUGAAACUGGCCCGCGAUGAACAAUGUAUUACUUUAGACCCAUUAACGGCCCGUGGUGAAACUAGCCCAUAAUGAACAGUGUAUCGCUUUAUACCCAUUAAGGGCCCGUUAUUCAGUUGGGCAGUUUACAGCCCAUGUUAUCUUUCGGCCUUCUCAGAGCCCAUUUAUUCUUGGGCUUAUUUGCAGCAUUCGGUUACUUACGGCCCAUUACUAUCAUUUUCUGCUUGUGGGCCAAAUUCAGCCCGUCGUUACAGUUGGCCUGUUUGUGGUCCGUUAGUCUGCUGGGCCAUUUUCAUAGCAUCACCAAAUACGGCCUAUUAACGGCCCAUUAUGGUCAGCCAAUAAAACAUACGAUUUCCAUUAUAGGCCUGUCUACGGCCCAUUAAAGGCCAGUACAAGACCCAUAAAUGAGUCGGCAGCCCAUGGAUCCUACAUGACGUAGAAGGCCCAUUGACCCUGCGAGAUGUAGAAGGCCCAUGGACACUACGAGACGUAGAAGGCCCAUGGAUCCUGCGAGACGUAGAAGGCCCAUGGAUCCUACGAGACGUAGAAGGCCCAUGGUCGGGCGAGUUGGCCCCCGUUUGAACGAUAUAGCAUAUUCAAAGAAUUAUCCUACUCAAUACUAUCACCUCUAAAAAGCAUACACUAUACAACAAAGAUAUCAAGGCAUAGAAAGGUAGAAUAAUCCUACACUAUACAAUAAAGAAAUUACAGCCGAUUAUACCCACUGGGCAUUAUGGUACGAUACAGGUGAUAAUAAAGCAUACACAAACAUCAAAUUACAUACACUGGGCAAAUACGACUCAUACAUCAUGGACGCGCAUCAACUUAACUCCAUUUGAACUAUAAUCUCUUUAGAAAAUAGGAUUGGCCGGAUUCAGAUAGCACAAAUUUUAGUCUGCAAAAUCUCCAAUUCCUUCACGGUUACCUCGGUGUCUUCUUUCAUUUUUUUGACUCCUGCAUCUAAUACGUGCAUGUCCAGUCUCAACUUGUUGAUUAUACAUUGACAAUCAUGUACACGUUGUCUUGCCACCUCUAGUUGAUGCUCGAGAACAUCAGCACAUUCCAAUUCCAAUCCAUAAUCAUUCAGUAACGGCCAUGCCGCACUGCUCGCAGAUUUUUGUGUUGAUGUCACUUCAUCCUGAAAUGUUUCUGUAAGUACACAUGACUAGGGAAAAAAUAUAGUUACAACAGUGAAGCGAACAAGACACUAUUUUGUACUACAUGGCAAAACAGGACUAACAAUAAUGUUACACAUCACUUUCACACAAAAAAUGUUACACGCAAUGAAGCAUAAGCAGGUGAUAUUUUAAAAAUUAUAAAAAAGAUAGUCUGUGCAGCCUGCAUACAGAAAUCCCUCUUAGCUCACCAGAGGGUCAUGAUGUUGGGGCCCAAUCGAAAACACAGACAAGUUACAAAUUUAGACAACACGUUGCAUAUAAGUAAGCAAGCAGUUGGCCAUUCUGUACCUCAGUUAAAGUCUUAGGGAGCAUAAUGAACAGCAGAGGGUUUCGUACAAACAUACUAUAGCAGGCAAAACUAUGCAAUCAUUAGCAUAGUAUAAACUAGAUUGUGAGCAUCAUGCAAUAAUAGUUGGUUAAUAGACUUCAAAGCUUCAGGCACACUUCGGCAGAGUAAUUAAAUGGUAAGGCCUUUAAUUAUGUCAACUAAUAGUGACACAAGUACCGAACAUCAGGCAUAAUUAUUUGGGCAUCUCAGUAAGUGAGGACAAAUAAAGCAAUUGAAAAGAGAAAAUUAAAUAUGCCUAAAACAAACAAGGAAUUGAACUAUUGAGUUGCAUACAGUGACUUACCUUAGCAGGUUGAAGAGGCUCAGCGCAGCUCCUACUUCUCAUGCAAGGCUCCUUCCUAACAUCUUGUACUUGGAAAUCCUCAAUCUUAUCUUCAUUGCACCCCCUCUGCAAGGUGACAUAAACUAGUUACUCGUCUCCUUGGAAGAUAAAUAUGCAUACUUUCCAGUCUGUGAACACGAAAGGAUGAGAUUAUAACAAAACAACACCACAUAAUGAAACAUGCCGCAUCUCUUGCACUUGCACACAAUGAAAUGAUCAUUUACUAUGUCUGCACUAUGUAAAAACUAGGCAUACCUUCGAACUGGAUCUCCAGGUACUCUUGGAGAGCCUACUGUAGUGUACAGCCAAACCUUUAUUCACCUAUGAGUUAGACAAGGCCCCACUACAGCAGCCCUUAGUGUUUAAAUCAUUGACAAGCUUUGUUAGAGUGUUAGGUCAAGAACAACAAGUAAUCAAAGCAAAGAGUCCUAGUAUGGCUGGCUGAUGCAAACAAGCAAUUGAACAGAUGUGUGAGCAAAUCUUACAUAUCAAGAAAAGAAGCAAAGAAGGAGGCUUAAAGGCCAUCACUUGACUGACCAGAUUUAAGGGGCAUUUAAACAUCAUGUGCAACGUACGAACUAACAUAAACAUUGCACAUUCCAGAUUCUACAAUGGAAUGCACAUGUAUUAGGUUAUGCCAUGUAUGAUGAUGCCUAAAUGUACAUAUAGCAGGCAGCAGUGAUUCAUCAUUGCACGCACAAUUGAAUUGCAGGUUAAGGGCCAGUUCAAUUCCGCCUUUUCAGGGUAUAUUGUCAAAAUAAGCCAUAAAAGAUGUAAAGAAGUCAUUUUUGAGUUAUGGGCUUGGGCUUAACUAAUUUCGCUUUUGGAGGGGGGUGUUUCGGGUAGAACCUCACUAAAAAUUGAAGGGAAGGGGAAUAGUGAAAUGACUCUGUUGUCUGCCUAUAUUACACUCAAAAUGCAACUGCUGACGCCUGUGUCACACCUGACCCUCAAGUAAAAACAAACACGCAAGCAUUCAUUUCCCUGCCCGCUUGCAUCUCCUCUCCCCUUUACCUCUACCUCGAUCCCCUGCCUACAGCACUAGGGUUCCUCCACCGAGCCACCGCCACUGGUCCCAUCUGGCCUGGUCCUCGACGAUGCUAUGUCCAGCUAGGCUACAUGUUCGGCGGGUAGGGGCAAAUCUCCCUGGCUGCUCCUCCCUCUGGCGCCGCGCCUCAUUCUCAUGGUCUCCAGCAGCUGCUCCACUGUGGUUCGUCCAAUGCACUACUCAAGCGGGCGCUGCACAACUACGGCUGAUGCCACACUGCGGCAGAAGGCACCUUGUUCCCCCUCCCCUCCUCCCAGGCCAUGGCCUUGAGGUGCUGCUGAAGGAUGAGCUCAUCCAACAAUGUGAGGGUCUCCUUUGAUUUUUUGCCAAAUUUUCAUUCUGAUCCACUAUACGAUGAAUUGCUAUGAGCUGCUUCUGCUGCUGCUAUAUGAUACAUUGCUAUGAGCUGCUCCUGCUGCUGCUAUAUGACGAAUUGCUAUGAGCUGCUGCUGCUGUAUGAUGAGUUGCUAUGAGCUAUUGCUGCUACUAUAUGAUGAAUUGCUAUGAGCUGCUGCUGCUGCUAUAUGAUGAGUUGCUACAAGCCGCUCCUGCUACUGCUAUAUGAUGAAUUGCUAUGAGCUGCUCCUGCUGCUGCUAUAUGAUGAAUUGCUAUGAGCUGCUGCUGGUAUAUGAUGAAUUGCAGACUGCUGCUACUGUAUGAUGAGUUGCUAUGAGUUGUUGCUGCUGCUAUAUGAUGAGUUGCUACUAGCUGCUCCUACUGCUGCUAUAUGAUGAAUUGCUAUGAGCUGCUGCUGGUAUAUGAUGAAUUGCAAACUGCUGCUGCUGUAUGAUGAGUUGCUAUGAGCUGCUGCUGCUGCUAUAUGAUGCUUUCAGGUGGUGCUGCUAUAUGAUAAUAACCAGCCACUUGGACCAUCGAAUUUCAACAAAUAAUUGUUCUUCAUUUAAAUGUGGGUCAUGCAUUCUUCGUUUAAAUUAGGCAAUGGGAUCUCUAUGGAAAACAUUGGCCAAAGUAGAUUGUGCCAAGUAGAUGGUAUCUUUGUAUUUGCAUUUUGAGCAAAUAGUGAUGGUCUGUUUUCCUAUCAUAUUAAUUACUGCACUGGGUUCAAUUUGUGAUGUUUGCAAGUCAAAUUAAUUUCCAUAUGUGUAGCAAAAUGAAAAAUAUAUAUAAUGCAAUCUAGACUUUCCACUGAUCAUACCAAAGAUAAGCUGAAAACGCAAUGGAAAGAACUGGUUGGCGUAUUACAUGGAGCUUAUAUUCACAUGUGCUUAUUUUCUUAGGAUAACUCGUAAUAACUGUCCCUAAGAAACUUGGUUAAUAGAACUGGCAUACAAAUAACAUGUCACGAUGAUUGCAAUGGAGGAGUGACGUACCAUAGCAUACUGUAUAGGCUCACCGCUGCCUCUUUUUUUUUGCGAUGUUCCAUGAAAUUGCCACAUACAUCUUGUACUUUUUCAUUGUGUAACCCUAUCUGCAAGUUGACACGGCUAAUUUCAGACAUCUCUACAUGAUACUACAUUGCAUAUCCCUUGCACAUAUUUAAACCACCAAUUAACGAUUGUAUGCGUACCAUAAACUAGCCAUGACUCUGUAUGCUGGACUGGCAGGCACUCUAAGGGAGCCUAAUGUAGUGCACUGGAAUUCCUACAUGCCACCUAUGAUUUUGUGUAAUGUACUGCCCCUGUUCCUAAAUAUAUUUCUUUGUAGAGAUUCCAGUAUGGACCACAUACAGAUGUAUAUAGAUGCAUUUUCGAGUGUAGAUUCACUCAUUUUGCUCCGUAUGUAGCCUAUAGUGGAAUCUCUAGAAAGACUUAUAUUUAGGAACGGAGGUACGAGGUAGUAUCAUGUAUGACAUCUACAUAUCUAAUUUAGCAGCCAGUAGUAGAAAUCAUUGUCUGCACAAAGGGAUUACUGGUCGAAAAUCCUGGCAAAGCACGCUAGCAGGCACAGAACAAUACAAGAGAGAGAGACAUGCUUACAAGAUCAUAGCAAUGCCUCAGUCCAGGAUCUUGGUUGGCCAAGCUAUUAGAUCUAGAAGAAACAUCGUCCUUGUAGUUUUUGCCAGCUGCAUAACAGGUAACAGCGACCGGUUAGUAUAUUUGAAGUACAUCGGGCAGGUGAUGCUGGACGGGUCUAAAGGUGACAAGUACCUAGGCCGUGGCGGGUGUUUGGCAUCUCUCCAGACGGUGGGAAUCAGGUUAGAAAUGUCAAGGGUGAUGACGCUGCGCUGGCUGUCGGGGUCCGGUAAGGAGAUCUAGAACCGUCGAGUAGGGUGUUUGUGGAGCAGCUCUGGUAGUGUGGACUAUGGUGUGGGCGAAUCGGAUCUGUGGCCGUGGACGAGGGCGUAGGUGAAGCUGCUCCGGUGGUUGGGUUAAGUAUGGUGUCGACGACGUGGAUCUGCGGCCGUGGACGGGGCGUCAGAAGCUGCUCCGGUGGUUGGGUUAAGGAUGGUGUCGAAGAUGCGGAUCUGCGGCCGUGGACGGGGCGUCAGAAGCUGCUCCGGUGGUUGGGUUAAGGGUGGUGUCAAUGAUGCGGAUAUGCGGCCAUGGACGAGGCAUCAGAAGCUGCUUCGGUAGGUUGGAUGAGGGUGCGAGGAAGCCGAUCUGAGGCCGUGGACUUGUGAGUUGGCAAAGCGGCCCCGGUAGGGUUGAGAAUGUUGAAGGCGAAGCUACUCCGGUAGGGUUGACGCUGGUGUCGACGAAGCGGCUCUGGUAGGGUUGAGGAAGGUGUCGGCGAAGCGCCUCCGGUAGGGUUGAGGAAGGUGUCGGCGAAGAGGAUCAGAGGCCGUCGACGGGGGCGUCGAUGGGGCGGCUCCGGGGGGUGCAGACGAAGCGUCUCCGGUGGGGAGUAUGAAUGAGCCGCUGCAGAUGCACGACGGUUGAUGAGAGUACCGGCGAAGCAGAUCCGGCGCCGUGGACAAGGCCGGCACUGAAUGGGCUGUGGUACAGUGGUGGAUGAGCACUCUACUUGUUUCUAGGGGAGGUGGGAGGGGUAGAUGCGGCCGCAGAAGCAGAUCCGACGAGGUGGACGCCGCUGGCAGUGAAUGGGCUAUGGUAUGCCGGUGGAUGAGCAGUCUAGGGUUUCGAGAGGGGAGGGGAGAAAGGGUGAUGAAUUACGAACGGCGUGAUGUAAGAUGCUCUGGUGCUGUGGAGUUAGUCGUUUUUGCAGGAGGAGGGGAGAGGAAAUGGGGGUGGCGUGUAGUGGGGGGAACCGGAAGUUACCAAAGCAGCCCCGACCUAUCAUGUAGAUGAGGGCAGUAUUGUAGCUGCUGGUGGGAUUUCGCAUGCUAAAGACUAAGGUGGCGGAAAUUUUAGAAGGAGGCGGGAGAUUUUGCCGCCAGCGGGAUCGUUCGUAUCUAGUUUCAACUAAAUUUGGACCGUGCUAGCGAGAAGGUCAUGCUAGACUAUGUACACGGGGCACGCGUUAGCAGUUAAUAACUGGUGUGAAGUCCACCCCAGAAAAAAAGACAAUAACUCGCGAUGAUGCGCCGAUAACUUGGACGUUCACAUGGGCGCGGCCAAUCGUACGGGUGUAGUGGCGCGUUCACAAAAAAGGGAUCAAACGCUCAGCCUAUGUAUUUCUCGUGUAAAUAGAUAAUUUAAUGCAAUUGUUUAUUUACUUUAAACAUAAUGCAUUGACGUGUUAGUGUAGAGGCGCACAAAAAGAAAUGGAUAUUGUAGUUAGCUACUUAAAAGUGUUACCUCAUAUGAUUACAUAGCCUCCAUUUCAUAAAUUGCGUAACCAUUGAAUUCAUAUAUGAAUAUUACAUAUAUAUUACUUCAAAAUAGAAACUUAAAUCAUCGAAGACUAAUGAAUUUGAAUGCAAGAGUAACAAUGGUGCAUGUGCAUGAUAGCUACAUUGGUUAUUUGAAGAAACAUCACUGUAACUUUGGCAUGCACAACUGAAAAAGGCUUAUUUAAAUACAAAAAACAUGUGAUAUGUGAGUGUCCAAUCUUUAUAGCAUUGAAUCGAUAUUGUACCUUUGGCCACGAUACGAAGUAGAUAUUGACUUAUGUUCAAGCGAUGCACGUCCAUGGUCGCUAGAUAGUGAUACGUGAAUGAAUUGUGCAAUCUCUCUCACACGCAUACAUAUCUCAUUUCCCUGUGGGCAUCGGAAUCACACACGCGCACUUCGUGUAUUUCUCUCCCUCUCUCAGGGUUAAAUUCGUCUUUCUACCCUGUCCUACAAGUCUCUCACACAGAAACACACACGCUCUCUAUGUCUAACACGCCCACCCCUUUAAUUCCGCCCACCCAUAGCCACUAAUGUCUCAAAGUAUAAUAAUGUCUCUCACACAUAUGCUAUCUACCUAUCCCUUAAUAUAGCUAGAUAUGUGUCACACAAACUCCUUCUCCCUACUAGCAAGAUGCCCAUGUGCGUUGCAUGGAACAUCAAGAUGCAUUUGUAUGAGAAGUUUAUCUUGUGGGGGAAAAGGAUGAACGAGGGAAUGCCUUGUUUGCAAAUGCGGAGAGGGGUGUGGGUAUCUUUUUGUAAAAUUGCCAUAUUUUCCUUCAUGUCCGUCGGAUAUAAAUCGGAUGUCCUAUAUUGUAGGAUGGCAAGAACACCAUCAUCACCAACUCUGUUUUUUAUAAGAGUAGAGGUAUGUGAGUGUCACGGCCCCCUCCCCCCCCGCCCCACACACUUCCCAACACCGAAGGAGUAGGGUGACAUCUCGAUCUUGAUACUAAUCUAUCGACUGGCUUCUCUCUCAAACAUACACACACACACUACCCGGCACCGAAGGAGUAGGGUGACACCUCGAUCUUGAUACUAAUCUAUUGAGUGGAUUCUCUCUCAAACACACACACACACACACACACACACACACACUACCCGGCACCGAAGGAGUAGGGUGGCACAUCGAUCUUGAUAAUAAUCUAUCGAGUCCUCUUUCAAACACACACACACACACACACACUCUCGCUAGUUGUGCCUCUGUGCCUACCACGCACACUCUCGAUACAUCUUUCUCUCCCCCCAACAAUGACAGCAGAAGGGUGACAACUCGAUCUGAUCAUAAUCUGUCAAUUGGUUUCUCUCUCAAACAUUGUGUCUUGGUGCCUCGCUCGGUAGCCCCCUCGAUAUGUAGACUUCUCGCGCGCGCACAACUAUAGUGACGAUGACACUGAACCCAGUGUGCCUUGUUUUUACCGGCCUCAUGUGAUAGUUUUCACCCUGUUUUCUGUUAAUUAACAAGGCAACCUUUUCUUUGUUACUACUCCCUCCGUUCCAAAAUAGAUGACUCAACUUUGUACUAACUUUAGUAUAAAGUUGGGUCAUCUAUUUUGGAACGGAGGGAGUACUAGUGAAUCUGAAAUCAUUCGGGGCAGACAUAAAACAUAUCACUUCAACCCAAUUAUCGCAGCAACUACUUUAAAAGAAAUUAGCUAGUUGCCCGUGCGUUGCACGGAACAUCAAGAUGCAUUUGUAUGAGUAGUUUAUCUUGUGAGAGAAAAGGCUGAACGAGGGAAGGCCUUAUUUGCGAACGUGGAGAGACGUGUGGGUAUAUUUUUGCAAAAUUGCCAUAGUUUCUUUCCUAUCCGUUAGAUAUAAAUCCGACGGCCUAUAUUGCAGGAUGGCACGCACACCAUCAUCACCAACUCUGUUUUCUACUCCCUCCGUCCGAAAAUACUUGUCAUCAAAAUGGAUAAAAAUAGAUGUAUCUAAAACUAAAAUACGUCUAGAUACAUUUCCUUUUAUCCAUUUUGAUGACAAGUAUUUCCGGAUGGAGGGAGUAUUUGUCUUUUUAGAGAUUUCAACAAGUGACUAUGACCGGACCUUACCAACAUACUAAAAAAAGUAGUCCAUAAUUUUGAUGUUACCCUCUUUUGUUGGCGGUGCAGUGCCAUCUGGAUACCUCAUAAAUAAAUCAAGGACAAAUCUGACCCCUUCCUGAAAAGACAUACGUAGCAAAAUGAGUGAAUCUACACUCUAAAAUAUGUCUACAUACACAUCUGUAUGUGGUAGUCCAUUUGAAAUCUGAAAAAGACAAAUAUUUAGGAACAAAUGGAGUAUAUAUAAGAGUAGACAUGGAGAUAUAUCUCCAGCAUGGUCUACAACAAAAAUGUGCUGGGCUGGUUAGCGCCGGAUGCUCGCAACGCGAUGACAUGAGUUCGAAUUCUGUCAUUUAACUUUAGAUUUGUAUAUUAUAUAUUACUCUACUUAUUUAAUAUAUACUUAUUUCACUACUGUACUGACAGUGGAACCCACAGAGUACUUAGAAUAUUAAGGAUGGACUUGUUUCUUUUUAACUUUCUGUACGAAGCUGUAGCCACCCUGCAAGUCAUGUGUACACUGUACAUGCAAUUAACUUUUUAUAGAGGGACAAUCAUACAGGCAAUUAACUCGAAUGGAUUGGAUGUCACUCUAUUAUUUCCAGCAUAAAGAGCAUCUCCACUGGCAGCCGACAAAUUUCCUACCGCUUCCUUCCGUGGAGGACGACAUCAAACGCCAGCGACAUACAUUUUUACAACUUUAACCAACCAGAUGAAAUUCGUGCAAACAUAGACUGAUUUCAUAUAAGCAUGAAGGAUUUCGUAUAAAAAAGUCAAAUCUUCAUAUAAACAUGAUGGAUUUCAUUACACUUACAUGAACUAAGAGGUGCCAAUCCGGCUCUCUUGUAUAAUUAAUACUCCCUCCGUCCGGAAAUACUUGUCCAAGAAAUGGAUAUAUCUAGACUUAUUUUAGUUCUAAAUGGUUGCCCGCGGAUCCCUUUGCCUCCUCAUGUCCGUCAGACACUUGCGGGGCCGAGGAAGGUCCUCGGAAGAGACAAAGCAACAAAGAAACCACCUGAAUCCGCGGUCGUCGCCUUGGCGGUGGCCUUCAUGGGUCCCAAGUGGCGGCGGCCUCCCGUGUUCUACUUCUCCUCGAUGAUGGCGGUGGACAAGGAGAAGCUGGCCACCGACUGGUCGCUCUCCACGCACCCGGCUUCUGUCUCUGCCUGCAUGGGGCUGCCGCAGGCAUGGGAGGCGCGCCCACAUACACGGGAGGCGCGGCCACCGCAGACACUGGUGGCGCGGUACGACGCAGCAGCGACGGUGCCCGUACCGGCGUGCUCGCCACCGUGUCGGCGUGGAGCAACUCGCCACUCCUCAUCGAGCUGAACUGGAGCGGCGAGUUGCUGAACCACACGCCUUCUUGGGGAGGCAACUGGCUCCGUCGGGCCAAGCGAGGUUGGUGAAGCACCGAGCGGCCUCGCCCGUAUCCAGAGGGCUCGGCGGGCCACCCAGCCGGGUAAUAUGCUGGAGAACGGCUCAUCAGAAGCCAUCGGGAGGGUGGAGAAAAUGGUGAAGGAGGAGAUGGGGGAGCGGCGGAGGGGUGCGAUUCUUGCCCGCUGUCUGUUUGGCCUCGUGUAAAUAGAGGGCGGACGGUAGGAGCUUGGCCGGCGUCUGGCCUCGUUUAACCUGAGUGCGGACGGGAGGAGCUCGGCCGGUGUUGCGUUUAAUUCCGGCCCGCUCAUGAACGGACGUGUGGCCGGAGUAGGAUUCUUGGUUUGCAUGCGGGUUUAAUGGAGGGGUUUAAUGGAGGCGCCGGGCGUGCAGCGGGCGGCGCAGUAUUAUUCGAUUUGACAGCAUUAAUGAACCGUCAAAUCACAAAGGCCCUCGCCUCUCAUGAAACCGACCGAGCUAGACUGCCCCGCCCUCUAGCCUUUUAAAAAAUGUAUAUACUCCACAUUUGUACAGUUGUAGUAUCGAUGGAUUGCGCCAUGGAGCAAAACUUGAAAUUAAAAAAAGGUGGUACAUAUAGAGAGCGCUCAUGAACUUUUAUAGUUUAUAUGUCCCUUUUAUAGUUUGUGCCAAAUUUUGACUAAAGAUUUAACUAACAAAAUGUUAAUGCAUGUCAAGAAAAAUUAUCUCAUUGGAUUCGUCUUUGAACAUAGUUUUGAAAAAUAUAAUGUUUGGUGACAUGUGUGAACAUUUUCUUAGAUUAAUCUAUGGUCAAAAUUUGGCACGAAAUACAAUGGGGACCAAUAAACCCGGACAGAGGUAGUAGUAACAUAAGUGUGGUAACAUGCAAAGCUUCAUUUAUUAGGUUAUAGACUCAUAGUGCAUUGGGACAUGUGAUGUUACAGUAACUAGCCACAUAAGCAAAUUUGCUGAGUUGGACUCGAUGUUACUGCUGAAGUUACUCCCACGGUGGCUACUCUUACUAGUAUUUGGUUUUUGUAAGAUGACUUAUAAUACUCACCUAGACGGAGGGAGUAUUCGAUUUGACAGCGGGCGGCGCAGUUCCCGAUACGCCUUUAAUGCAGACGAGGGAGGGAGUAGCGGUUCCCGAUAUGUUGAACGGCCAAUGCAUCCUCCUUCAAUUAAUGCAUGAGGGAAGUAAUGGGAGGAGGUCCGGGAAAAGAGGCUGCACGAUGUGAAUGCAACGCAGUUUGCCCUCAUUGCCCUCAUAUAAAGGCACCCCUCCUCCAUUCCAAUGCAUCUGCCACAUCGUACGCACCUAAGCACUUGCCUAAGCACCUACACUAAGCGCAAAAGAGCUCGCUCCAGACCCAUGGCUGCGAUGUGCGUGAGCGGCCAGCGGCUGCGCCAGAUGGUCCACGACGCCGGCUUGCGGCAUGGCGCCGAGGAUCGUCUCCCGAUGGUGUUGGAGACCGACUGGUGGAUGGCCGUCGUCGACACCAACUAUGACUCUCAGUUGGACCAGAUGAUCAUUGCCACCAGCAACAAGUUCACCGUCCUCAAGAAGCUCGCGGACGACAUCGUCGUACUCCUCUAGCCCGCGCGCCCGGGCUCCUCAUUGCAUGCCACCCUAAUCGACCUCCAUGGCUGGAACCUCUUUCAAGCACUGGUGGCCCUACGACUGCCCACCGAUGCCAUGAAGAAUGUCCACCUGGAGGUCACACUCGCCGCGAGGCGCCUUGCCCUACAAGAAUUCGUCGACCUACACAUCCACGCGUACGAGCAAAUCGUGUACAUAGGUAUCUACAAGGCCAGUGAGGACGCUACGAUGUUGGCCUUCCUCAACCGGCUGGAAGCCUAGGAUGCAUUUGUUGAGAAGCACCUCGACCUCGCCACAAAAGCCGCCGCUCCUUAGCCGCCGGACCGUGGCCCGUCACACUAAGUUGAGGAGGAGGUCGUACGUUUGUGGAUCCAUCUUUCUUCUUGCCUUCUGUAACCACCACUGCGAUCGCAUCAUCCUGGCCUUAAUUCUUAUUAUGCUAUUGCAUUCUCGUUCCAGUCAAUACCGACAUGUGCGAUCCCUUUGCUUAAUUAUAUGCAUCACUGUAACUAGUACUCCAUCCGUCAAUUUAUAAGUUGUGCUUACCUUUUCCAUCAACUUCGUGCAACACGGGGGCAUCUUGCUAGAAACACUAGAAUAUGUCUAUAUAAUCCGUAUGUGAUAGUCCAUUUGAAAUAUCAAAAAUGACAAAUAUUUAGGUACAGAGGGAGUAAUAUAUUAGGAGUAUAUCAAAACAAUAGUGAUUUCUUUCAAGUUUGUGAACAAAUACUACUAUUCUACUACUUUGGAUCCGUCGCAACGCACGGGCACAUUGCUAGUAAAAGGAAAAGGCCUGCCACGUUCGCAUCGCACCCCCGCACGCCCAGGAAUCGGGAGUACAACACGGCCCGGCUGACAUGAGACAUAGCUUAGGGAAGGCGUGUUGCCUAGCAGUGGCGGAGCUUGAAGCAAAACGUUGGGCGUGCUAGUCUAGCCAGGCUAUAGAAAUUACCCUUGCGUUGACGUUCCAUGCCUCAAAACUGGAUGUACAACUACGAAAAUCCUGCUAGGUUGGGCGGGCCAGGGCACAUGUUGGCCCUAAUGUAGCUACGCCCCUGUGCCUAGCAUUUUCACUUUCAUGUGGGACUGCCCGUUGAGCAAACCGACACCCCGCCCGCCGCCGGGUUGGAAAACAGAAACAAGGGGAAGAUCUAGCUGUAGCACGGAAGCAAAGAAAUUUUGUGUCAGACGGGGCUCGUUGAUAGAGUAGGAGCAUUCCGUAUUAGUACCACUCCUACCAAGUUUGUACUCCUAAUACUAUUAUAUUACUAGUACUACCACUAUACAACUAGUAGAUACGUGCACGGCACAACAUCGUAGGAACAAUACAAUAUGUGCCUUGCUACCCCUGCUGUCACUGGGGAAGGACACCGCAAGAUUGAACCCAAAGCUAAGCACUUCUCCUAUUGCAAGAAAGAUCAAUCUAGUAGGCCAAACCAAACUGAAAAUUCGAAGAGACUUGCAAAGAUAACUAAUCACACAUAAAAGAAUUCAGAGGAGAUUCAAAUAUUUCUCAUAGAUAAACCUGAUCAUAAACCCACAAUUCAUCGAAUCUCGACAAACACACCGCAAAAAGAGUUACAUCGAAUAGAUCUCCAAGAAGAUCGAGGAGAACUUUGUAUUGAGAUUCAAAGAGAGAGAAGAAGCCAUCUAGAUAAUAACUAUGGACCCAAAGGUCUAUGGUAAACUACUCACAAAUCAUCGGAGAGGCCUUCGAGAUGAUGUAGAGGCCCUCCGUGACCGAUUCCCCCUCCGGCGGAGCACCGGCGAAGGAUCCAAGAUGGAAUCUCACGGAUACAGAAGGUUGCAGCAGUGGAAUUAGGUUUUCGUGGUGAUCCUGGAUGUUCUCGGGGUACGUGGAUAUAUAUAGGAGAAAUAAGUAGGUCGGUGGAGCCACGAGGGGCCCACGAGGGUGGGGGGCGUGCCCACCCCCCUAGGGCGUGCCGAGGACCCUCGUGGCCGCGUCGUUUGCUGCUUGACGUCCACUCCAAGUCUCCUGGAUUGCGUUUGUUCCAAAAAUAUUGCUCCCGAAGGUUUAAUUCCGUUUGGACUCUGUUUGAUAUUCCUUUUCUUCGAAACACUAAAAUAGGCAAAAAAAAACAGCAAUUCGGGUUGGUCCUCCGAUUAGUAGGUUAGUCCCAAAAAUGAUAUAAAAGUGUAAAGUAAAGCCCAAAGACAUCCAAAACGGGUAAUAUAAUAGCAUGGAACAAUAAAAAAUUAUAGAUACGUUGGAGACGUAUCAUUACCCUAUGCCUCGAAAGCUCUUGCUCGCACUCCUUGUCGCCUCCCGAAAGCUGCGCCACUACUUCCAAGGCCACCCCAUGAAAGUCGUUUCGGCCUACCCACUGGAGAGGGUGCUCCGGAGUCCAAAUGCAGCCAGGCGAGUUGCAGAGUGGAACAUCGAGCUCGAGGCAUUCCAAUAGAGUCUAGUACCACCUGGGCCAUCAAGGAUGCGGCCCUCACGAAUUUCGUGGCAGAAUGGGCUGACGCCCUUGUUCGUGGAGUGAACAAGGACUAUUCCCUCUUGCUUGGGGACGAGGAGCCAGACGGGUGGAUUAUGUACUUCGAUGGAGCAUUCACAUAACAAGGUGCGGGGGCUGGGGCUGUCCUCAUCUCGCCCACCGAGGACAAGCUCUAAUACGCAGUACAACUCUGUUUUCAGCAGGGCGAGAAGGUAUCCAACAACAUCGCAGAGUAUGAUGGCUUGCUCACUGGCCUCAGGGCCGCGACAGCAUUGGGGGUGAAGCGCCUCACCAUCAAAGGCGACUCCCAGCUCCUCAUCAACUUCUCCAACAAAGAGUACACACCCAUGGACGAGCACAUGGAGGCAUACCUAGAAGAGGUACGCAAAAUGGAGAAAUGGUUCUUAGGCUUGGAACUACAACACGUGCCGCGAGGAACGAACAAGGAGGCGGACGACAUUGCUAAGAGGGCGUCUUAGAGGCUCCCUAGGGAGCUAGGGGUGUUUGAAGAGUGGCUCUUCAAGCCGUCAGCGGCUCCCCCCACCGCUGCUCUAGUACCUCCUCAGGAGGAUCUACCCCAAGCACCAGCAACCGACGCCCCAGCAUGCGUCCCACCCUCUGGGGCCCACCUGCUCCUCGCGCUCGAACCCCCGGAGGGGUUCUAGACAGAGGAGUUCAAGGCGUACCUGCUUCAGGGGACCCUGCCGGAGAAGGAGGAGGACACCGAGAGGGUGGCUCGUCAGGCCACCACGUACUACAUCAGUGAUGGUGAGUUGUACCACAAGAGGCCCAAUGACAUUUCGUUAUGAUGCAUCUCCGGGGAGCAGGGGCUUGAGUUCCUGGCGGACAUACACGGUGGGGAUUGCGGACAUCAUUCCUCAUCACGCACUCUUGUGGGCAAGGCAUUCCGUAGUGGCUUCUACUGGCCCACUUCACUCAACGAUGCUGCUGAGCUGGUGCACUCCUGUGAAGCAUGCUAGUUCCAUGCCAUGAAAAUUCACCAGCCUGCACAGGGCCUCCAGACUAUACCGCUCACAUGGCCGUUCUCGGUCUGGGGGCUGGAAAUCCUGGGGCCGUUCCCUUGAGCGCCAGGGGGCUACCGCUACCUCUACGUCUCCAUCGACAAGUUCACAAAGUGGGCGGAGGUGGAAGCGGUCCGCACAAUCCCAGCUGGAUCAACCAUUAAGUUUAUCAAGGGCCUCGUGAGCUGGUUUGGGGUCCCUAACCGCAUCAUCACCGACAAUGGCUCGCAGUUCACUAGCAACCUUUCCAAAACAUAUUGUGCUAACCUUGGAACGCAGCUAUGCUACGCCUCACUGGCACACCCCAGGAGCAACGGCCAAGCUGAGCGCACCAACGCCGAGGUCUUGAGGGGGCUCAAGACAAGGACCUUCAAGAAGAAGCUCGAGGCCUGCGGCAGGGGCUGGCUCGACGAGCUCCAGUCCAUGCCGUGGUCCAUCCGCACCACCGCGACCAAGCCAACGGGAGAGACGCCGUUCUUCCUUGUCUAUGGAGAUGAAGUGGUUCUCCCACACGAGGUCAAGCAUCGCUCCACGCAGGUCCUGGCUGUCGGCGUUCUGGGAACGGGGGUCCCCAGACUUGCCUGCCUACGGCCUGUAGCUUCACUCAAGUGGGGGCCCAAUGCAGCCCAGCUUCAUCGUCUCAAGCUCAAGACCCUCGCGAGGGGCCAGGCCUCGCGGGGUGGACGACAGGAAGCUUCCUCAGGAGCUGCCUCCUCAGGCAGGCUCACGAGGAGGCAGAGAGAUCAAGGCGGGGUACCUCCCGAGGAGCCAGUGACGCAAGCCAUGACGAACGAAGGCCAGGCGGGCGCCAGGCGGGCGCCGGCCUGCGCAGUGUCCUUGUUUCCCCUUCGGUGCAAAGGGGGCAAGCACAGGCCAAGGCAUCAAGCAAAGGUUACCAUUUCGGUGCAAUAAGACCAAGACCAGCAGAACGGCAGGAUGGAGGUCAUCGUGGAGCCCAGGGCAGCGUUAUCAUCAGGGCCUUUGGCAGCCGAAGACCAACUUUAGUCAGGAUAAGCGUACUAGAUGUUCGCCUUCAAAGUGGCCAAUUGUUGGCGCCCUUCCUGCUCAUUAUUUGGGGAGAGGCCCAGGGCCUUGCUCUAUAAAUAGGACUAGCCACCACAGGGUAGAGGCGUCGAGAAACAGAUCGCCAGACAGAGAGAGAAGCGACCGAACUCACCCAAGCAGUUCAUCGCACCAGCUCAAGAACAGCCCCUCGCGAGGCUGUUCCCCCUUUGUAUUGUUUACCAUCAGCCCCUGAGGCAACCCACCACACCACACACUGGAGUAGGGUAUUACACCACAAUGGUGGCUUGAACCAGUAUAAAUCUCGUGUCUCUUGUGUGCCCAUCUUUCUUGCUUAGAUCUUUGCGGGACUUGAGACGCGAGCUGGUAGGGGAGAUAUUUCUGUGCGCACCCCAGUGUUCGAACCUCAAGGGUCUGUCGAAACCUGAAAUCCGCCAUUUGGCGCACCAGGUAGGGGUGUGCCGGAAUCUUUCUUCCGCUAGUCGCGCGUGAUCUUCCGCCGUGUCCAUGGCUGACGCACGCCGAGCUCGCGCCGAGCGCCGGGCUGCUCUCGCCACCCGCGUCGCCCAGAUGGCGCCUGUCAGCGGUCGCCCUCGUCGUUCCCCGUCGCCUGCCGCCAAUGGCGCCACCGGCCCAGCGGGGAACGAGCGGCAGGCCUUGUCCCUGCACCCUUUGGGGCGGCGCGAUGGCCGCACCGCCACCCCAUCGCCGACUCCAGUCGGUUCGUCGUCCCAUGGCCGCCGCGCCCCCACGGAUGCGCCGCCCGCUCCUAUAGUCGAUGCCGGCACUGGGCCUGGGGGCUCUGAGCCUUGGCCGCCGCCUUGCGGCAGGUGCAGUGGCCGCUCGAGUUCAAGCCCGAGAUGCCGCCGCGCUACAACGGCGCGACGGAUCCGCUGGUUUUCCUGCCGGCGUACGAGGAGGCUGUCCUCAAGGCCGGAGGUGAUGACAGGGUGAUGGCCAACUAGUUUGCCAUGGCCCUCACCGGCGUCCCGCGCAUGUGGCUGCUCCACCAACCGACGACCUCCGUGACCUCCUGGGGGAAUUGCACGACAUCUUCCUCUCCCAUUACGCCGUGCCAGUACCCCCGGUCGUCACAGCUCUCUUGGGUGGCUCUCAGGCGCCACCCUCAAGCCGCCAUGUAAGCCGUUCAUCCGCCAGAUCGGCACCGCCUCUAAGCGCCGAGAAGCCCCCCCGGGCUAGGUGGCGCCCGAGGCCGAUCUGACCUUCAACUCGGACGAUCACCCCUCCAACCCCGCCAGUUCGGGUGCGCUCCCAAUGCUGUGCACCCCCAUCAUCUGCCAAGUGGCCAUCACCAGGACCCUCAUCAACGGCGGGGCUGGCCUCAACAUGCUCUCUGUGGAGGCCUUUAGCCUCCUCCACAUGCCACUAGAGCGGCUCCUGCCCAGCAGGCCUUUCUUGGGCGUCGGAGUCGGUUCCACCGCCUCCUUGGGGCAGAUUCGCCUCCCGGUGACCUUCGGCACCUACGACAACUUUCGCACAAAGCUGAUCGACUUCGACAUCGCCCCCAUCAGCCUCCCUUACAAUGCCAUCCUCAGCUACCCGGCCUUGGCCUGGUUCAUGGCAGCGACUCACCCGGCGUACGACCUCAUGAAGAUGCCCGGGAGUAGCGGUGUCCUAACCGUGUCGGGAGACACAAGAGAUGCACUACAUGCGCUCAAGCUUGCUUUCAAGACAGCCACGGCGGCGCAGCCUGCCAACACUGACACCCUGGAGCCCAAGGGGGUUGCGCCGGCCAAGAAGAAGCAGUUAUUCACCCAAGACAAGGCGGAAACCAAGCAGGUAACAGUCGACGAGGACGGGUCCACUAGUGCCACCUUAACCCUAGGCACCAACCUCGAACCCGAGCAGGAGGAGGCCUUGGUGAAGUUCCUAUGCGCGAACAAGAAGGUGUUCGCAUGGGAACCAGAUCAGCUAGCAGGGGUCCCGAGGGGAGUGAUUGAGCAUCGCCUCAAUGUAUGCCCCAACAUACACCCCGUAAAGCAGAAGGCAAGGCGGCAGUCCACUGAGAAACAAGCUUUCAUCGUCCAAGAGACCCGCAAGCUGGAAGCAGCAGGGGUCAUUCGCGAGGUCCGCUAUCCAGAUUGGUUGGCUAACCCGGUGGUUGUGCCAAAAAAGGGAGGAAAGGAACGCAUGUGUGUCGACUUCACCAACCUUAACAAGGCCUGCCCACAGGAUCCGUUUCCGCUUCCUCGCAUCAACCAGAUCGUCGACUCCACCGCUGAGUGUGACCUGUUGUGCUUCCUGGAUAACUUCUCGGGCUACCACCAGAUCAAGAUGGCGGUGGAAGACGUGGAGAAAACGGCCUUCCUGACCCCGUGUGGAGUGUACUGCUAUACAUGCAUGCCAUUCGGGCUGUGCAACGCAGGUGCAACCUUUCAGCGGCUGAUGCACAUCGCCUUGGGUCGGCAGCUCGGGAGGAAUGCUGAGGCUUACGUCGAUGACAUUGUGGUGAAGUCUCGGGAGGCAAAAACUCUGAUACAGGACUUGGAGGAAACCCUCACGAGCCUCAAUGAGGUGGACCUGCGGCUCAACCCGGAGAAGUGCGUGUUUGGAGUCCCCUCGGGCAAGCUCCUAGGCUUCCUCGUAUCCCACAGGGGCAUCAAGGCCAACCCGGAGAAGGUCAAAGCAGUCGAAGACAUGAGCCCGCCGAAGACCCUCAGAGAAAUGCAGAAGCUCACCGGGCAUGUGACCACGCCAGGGCGCUUCUUCUCCAAGCUGGGGGAAAUAGCACUGCCCUUCUUCAAGCUGAUGAAGAAGAAGGGCCCCUUCGAGUGGACUGAGGAGGCCAACAAGGCGUUCCAGGAUCUCAAGAGGUACCUAACCAGCCCCCCAGUAAUGGUAGCUCCGCGUCCACGGGAGCCCUUGGUGCUCUACCUUGAAGCCACCCCCUACUCCGCCAGCGCAGCCCUUGUGGCGGUUAGGGAAGAGCAUCGGAUCAAGGCCACAACAACCGUCCGGGUCGAAGCGAAGCAAAGCCAAGAAGGCCCCGCAGAGACCGAGACUACAGCCGAAAAGGAUCAACCAUAGCGAGGGAGCACCCCCGGAACAUAAGAGGCCCCUCCAAGCGACCGGGCGCUGGGGGCUCCGUCGUCUCGGGAGGAACCCCAACCUCUGGAGGACGCCAACACUCUCAACCUCGUCGAGCACCCUGUGUACUUCGUCAGCACGGUGCUACGGGAUGCAAGGGCACGGUACCCUAUGCCCCAAAACUCCUCGUGCUAUUGGUGGCCUCACGCAAGUUGCGGCACUACUUCCAAGGCCAUCCCAUCAAGGUCAUCUCAGCAUACCCCUUGGAAAGGGUACUCAGGAGCCCCAACUCAGCUGGAAGAGUCGCUGAGUGGAACAUCAAACUACAAGCGUUUCAGCUAGAGUUUAGCACGACCAGAGUCAUCAAGGGGGCUGCACUUGCAGACUUCGUGGCAGAAUGGGCAGAGGCGCCAGGCCUCGAGGCUGGCGAGGAUCGAUCACUUUCCCCAGGAAGCGAGGCACCGGACGGCUGGGUCAUGUACUUCAACGGGGCAUUAUCCCGACACGGUGCGGGGGCUGGCGCGGUGCUCGUAUCUACCACUCAGGACAAGCUCUACUACGCCGUACAACUCUAUUUCCAGCACGGAGAAAAGGUCUCCAACAAGAUAGCAGAGUACGAAGGCCUGAUAGCAGGCCUGGAAGCCGCAGUCGCCUUGGGGGUAAAGCACCUCACCAUCAAGGGUGAUUCACAACUCCUUAUCAACUUCUCCAACAAGGUAUACGAGCCAAAGGACGAGCACAUGGAAGCCUACCUCGCGGAGGUUCGCAGGAUGGAGAAGCAGUUCUGGGGGCUAGAGUUGCAGCAUGUGCCUCGCGGCACCAAUCAAGAGGCUAAUGACAUCGCCAAGAGGGCAUCCAGGAGGCUGCCUCGGGAGCCUGGCGUCUUCGAGGAGCGACUCUUAAAGCCCUCGGCGGCACCAUCUCUAUCAAGCACGGCGCAACCUUGGGAGGAGCCCCCUCAGUCGCCUGCUUCGGGAGCCCCGGUCUGUAGCCCGGCCUCGGGGGCACGCCUGCUCCUGGCAUUGGAGCCUCAAGAAGGAUGCUGGAUCACAGAGCUCAGGAACUACCUGACACAAGGGACCCUGCCGGAGAAGGAGGAAGAAGCGGAGCGCGUGGAGUGGCAGGCCAUGGCCUACUGCAUCAAGGAUGGAGAGCUCUACCGGAGGCGACCAAAUGAUGUGGCCUUACGUUGCAUUUCCAGGGAGCAAGGGAAGGAGCUAUGGCAGACAUACACGGUGGAUACGGUGGGUAUCACUCAUCAUCACGGACCCUCGUUGGCAAGGCGUUCCGCAGCGGGUUCUAUUGGCCCACGACACUCGGUGACGCUCUGGAGCUGGUGAAGGCUUGUAAGGCCUGCCAAUUCCAUGCCAAGCAGAUCCAUCAGCUGGUGAGGGGGUGUGCAGACUAUACCCUUCUCAUGGCCAUUCACAGUUUGGGGGCUGGAUAUCCUGGGCCCAUUCCCUCGGGUGCCAGGGGGCUAUCGCUAUCUCUACGUUGUCGUGGACAAGUUCACCAAGUGGGUUGAGGUGGAAGCUGUCCGCACCAUCCCCGCAGGCUCCGCAGUCAAGUUCGUCAAGGGCCUCGUGAGCCGAUUUGGGGUUCCUAACUGCAUCAUCACCGACAAUGGUGCGCAAUUCAUCUAUAACCUCUUCAAAACGUACUGUGCUAACCUUGGAACGUAGAUAUGCUAUGCUUCGGUAGCACCCCCCCCCGGAGCAACGGCCAGGCAGAGCGAGCCAACGCGGAGGUCCUGAGGGGCCUCAAAACUAGGACCUUCAAGAAGAAGCUGGAGGCCUGCGGCAGGGGCUGGUACGAUGAGCUCCAGGCUGUGCCGUGAUCUAUCCACACGACCGCGGCCAAACCAACUGGCGAGACUCCAUUCUUCCUCAUCUACAGAUCUAAGGCCGUCCUCCAUCACGAUGUCAGGCGUCGUUCCGCACGGGUCCUGGCGUUCGACGAGGCACAGCAGGAUGCCAUGCGGGGGACGGACCUCGUGCUGGGAGAGGAAAACCGUCAGGAGGCCACAUUACGAGCGGCAAGGUAUCAAUAGGCGCUGCGGCGAUACCACUGUCGCAACAUCCGCCCCAGGACUCUUGAGGUAGGGGACCUCGUGCUCAGAUGGGUCCUCUCCAGGGAGGGGUUGCACAAGCUCUCUCCCAUGUGGGAGGGCCCGUUCAAGGUUGUUCCUGUUUCCAGGCCCGUCUCCGCGCGCUAGGAGACCCAGGAGGGAGUUCCCAUCUAGAAUGCAUGGAACAUUCAAUAUCUCCAGAGAUUCUACCACUGAGAAAGGCUCGGUGCCUGUGAAGAAGGCCAACGCUUGUGAAGCUACCGCAUUUUGGGAAAGGCUCGGUGCCUGUGAAGAAGGCCAACGCGUGUGAAGCUACCGCAUUUUGGGAAAGGCCCGGUGCCUAUGAAGAAGGCCAAUGCCUAUGAAGCUACCGCAUUUUGGGGGAAGGCCCGGUGCCUGUGAAUAAGGACAAUGCCUGUGAAGCUCGCCGCCCGUGACACUCUCACGUAAUAAUGAGUGGGGCUGUACACGCCUCGGAGUCUUCGGAGUGCCGCCCUCAGGCCUCGGGGGCUCCCGCCCAUGCCCAGUGGCAGCACUUAGCUCCGCGCUGGUGAGAAGACGUCGAAGACUAGAUUAGGUGCCGGACAUGGCUUUUUCAUUUGCUUUCUGCAGUUGGCUUGUUCUUUCCUGUUUGAAGUUUUAUCGAAGCUGUCGCCGCCUUUGGCUGAAGACCCUUUAUCUUUUGUUUGCUCACUUGCCUCGAUUUUCCCUCACGCAAGUCUCGCGAGGGAGGUAUGCUGGUACCCUCGCGAGUGUUUUUCGCCCCGGUCAUUUGAAGCUCUCCUAUCCGAGUCCGCAUGGGGCGUACCACUCCCAGUCCUUACCCCACAGGCAUCGCGACGCGAGCAUGGGACCUGAGUCGGUCGCCCCGCAACCGAACCGGAAGCUACCCCUCUUGACUAACCCUUGCAGGACAUAAAGUGCACAGGGAGGCCUCGGCCUCGGGAGGCGAAGGCCGCUACAAUCCUCCCCGGGUUAAGUAACUCCUGUGCACGAGCACGCGGCAUGGAAACGUAGCACGGAAAUAGCAGAAACAACACGACAAUAAACAGUAACAGUUCAACAUGCCCCUGCGGGGCCCUACACUACUUCCUCUUUUUGCGCAGGAAAGUAAGAAAGGCAAAACAGGCAUGACUAGCUCAGCACCAGCUCACGACGAGGGCCCGUACUACCUCCGAAGCUCGGUCAGAUUCCCUCCUCUCGCUUCACUGAGGCACGACGGCGGACCGACCCGCCACCUUCCCCCAAGCGGGCGCGACGACGCGGAGGCUGGUCGCGACCCCCACUUGAGGAGCUGCUGUCUGAAGGAGAGUCGCCAAAGCUUGGCGAACCCCGGGUGCCACUGCCCACGUGCCUGCCGCCAUCUCCAUCUCCGAUCAACGCCGACGCUGGGCGCCCUACCGCGGUCAUCAUCUUCAGGGCAGCACCCGGCACGGCGACCGUCUUCCCCGAACACCCCACGUAUAGGGUGGCGUCGCCAUCGAACCUGAAGUGCAGGGUGCACCGCCGGCUCAGGCCACGCACACGGGCAAAAGUUUGCCAGCCGCGGGUCAGGGCCAAACCCCUGGCGGAAGAAACCUCCAGCGAAGCCCAGGAGGCCCUGCUGCAACAGCCAUCCGCCUGAAGCCAAAGGUCGCCCAGAGCGCCGGCCGGAAGUUCACCUACGAAGAAGUGAGGAAGCUGGAGCCAAGUGCUGGUCGGGUCCGCCGAUCACACGACGAACUCCGGCAGCACUUCUGCCGAGCGGAAGCGCGGCCUAGGGGGUCACGCAGGCACGGCGUGUGUCACGCCCAAUAUGCGAUACUAUCCUAAAGAGACUCGAAGGUCCCACCAAUGAUAGAACCGCAUAUUGAAACACUUUUGCAAGGUGGAUAUCAUUACAUCAACAUUACAUAAUAGAUGGGGAUACAUACAAGAGGCAUACAAUGCCACAAGAAUACAACAUCACAAUACAUAAGAGCAUCAUCCGACUACGGAUGAAACACAAACAGAAACUCAAAUGACAAUCACCCUGCUAGCCUAGGCUGCCGACCUGGAACCUAUCCCCUGAUCGAAGAAGAGGCAGAAGAAGAACUCCAAAACAAGCAAGCAUCGCUCUCGCGUCAUGACCAUCGCAUAACCUGUACCUGCAACUGUUGUUAUAGUAAUCUGUGAGCCACGAGGACUCAGCAAUCCCAUUACCAUGGGUAUCAAGACUAGCAUAGCUUAAAUGGGAAAGGAAGGGGUAAAAUGGUGAGGUUGCAGCAGCGACUAAGCAUAUAUGGUGGCUAACAUACUCAAAUAAGAGCGAGAAGAGAGCAAGCGGAACGGUCGUGAAGCUAGCAAUGAUCAAGAAGUGAUCCUGAACUCCUACUUACGUCAAACAUAACCCAAAACCGUGUUCACUUCCUGGACUCCGCCGAAAAGAGACCAUCACGGCUACACACGCGGUUGAUGUGUUUUAAUUCGAAUCAGGUGUCAAGUUAUCUACAACAGGACAUUAACAAAUUCCCAUCCGCCACAUAACCGCGGGCAUGGCUUUCGAAAGAUAAUACCCUGCAGGGGUGUCCCAACUUAGCCCAUGAUAAGCUCUCGCGAUCAACGAAGGAUAUACCUUCUCCCAGGAAGACCCGAUCAGACUCAGAAUCCCGGUUUACAAGACAUUUCUACAAUGGUAAAACAAAACCAGCAAAGCCGCCCGAUGUGCCGACAAAUCCCGAUAGGAGUCGCACGUAUCUCAUUCUCAGGGCACACCGGAUGAGCCAGAUGUCAGGUUGGCAUAGACCCUAAUUGCCCAGGGGGCACCGGACAUCGCUCGGUUUGGACCAGCACUCGGAGGAGAACUAGCCCGGGAGGGUAAAAUAAAGAUGACCCUCGGGCUCCGGAAACCCAAGGGAAAAAGGGCUAGGUGAGGCAAAUGGUAAAACCAAGGUUGGGCCUUGCUGGAGGAGUUUUAUUCAAAGCGAUCUGUCAAGGGGGUCCCAUAAAUCACCCAACCGCGUAAGGAACGCGAAAUCCGGGAACAUAACACCGGUAUGACGGAAACUAGGGCGGCAAGAGUGGAACAAACAUAAUCCUGUCCAUGAUGGGGCAAUCUUCAACUUCACCUGCAACUAACAACGCUAUAAGAGGGGCUGAGCAGAGCGGUAACAUAGCCAAGCAACGGUUUGCUAGGAAUGGUGCAAAAGGUUAGAGGCUGACAUGGCAAUAUGGGAGGCUUGAAGAGCAAAUGAUAGGUAGCACAACAUAUCGAUAGAACGAAGCAACUAGCAUAGCAAUGAUAGUAGUGAGAUCCAGGGUAGCGGUCAUUUUGCCUGAAAUCCCGCUAGGAAGAAGAACGAGUCCAUGAAGUAGAUGAACCAACGUAGUCGAACGAAUCCUCACAAUCGCAACAUUACCGGAACUAAGAAGCAAUACCGGAAAGAAACAAACAACAUGGUAAACACACAAGCAUAAUCAUGGCAUGAUGCACAAUCAAGUAUGAUGCAUGUCCGGUUUAAAGAGGCAUGGCAUGGCAAUGUGCAACAAACAAUACUACAAGUUAAGUGGAACUCAAUAUGCAAUGAUUUGCAUAUUGAUGAAACACCACAUUCAAGUUAUUUAGUUCGCUCUCGUUUAGGUACUCAACAAUAUUAAAUGUUGUUAAACAUGGCAAGAGGUGGAACUUUAGUAAUCUAACUAUUUAGGCAAGUUUAAAUGAGGCCAGAAUAACAAACAACAAUUCCGGAAAAUCCCCAUAUGCAUAUUUUAGAUUCGGUACUGUUCUGCCCUAAAACAUAUUUUAUUGUUAUUAAAUAGGAAAAUAAAGUCCACCAUGUUAAACUAGGCAUUUUUCCACCCCAUUUACAUAUAAAGUUUAUUGAAUUUGGAGCUACGGUUAUUUAGUUAUGAAAUAAAUCAUUUUAGCAUGGUAUUUAUGCAAAAUUAAAUAAAUAGCAAGUUUAAACAUAUUUAACAUGGAUGAAAGUGGAAUUUUAUUAAUCUACACAAAAUUCUAAGCAUUUUACAUAUAUAAAUUAUUUACAUAUGAUGCACCAUUUGUGAGUUAUUAAAUGCAUGAACUCUAGGGGGUUUUCUGCAAAACGGGUUUCCUGUGGAUAAUGCUAAAAUCGCAGACAAGGAAAAAAACAUGCACGGGCCGAAUCUGACUAGCCCAAUAGAGGAAAGGCCAGGGGUGCUGCUCACCCAUGGGCUUGGCCCGGGUCGUUGGAGUGGUUGGGCUUGACUGAAGAAGAGGCCGGCCGUGACGAACUGGGCCUGGCCGAGGCGGUUGCUGCGCGCACGCGGUCAACGCACGGCUGAACCGAGCGAUGCAGGCGCUCAUUCUGCUUGCACUAAACAGGGGCACCAGUGGCUGGGAUCUGAGGUCCGGUGAGCGGGGCAAAGGGGCGGCGAGGCGAGGGACUUGGCACUCUGGUCGCCGCUGAAGACAGCGAGGAAGCCGAGCCCGAUGUGGAGCAGGGUCUUGGCGUGGCGGCGGUGCUGUUCGGGCGGCGGAGCUCGUCGCGGAGGGGCGGCGCGGCAGUCCGUGGUGGUUGGAGACGAGGCGAGGUGGAGGAGCACUCGGGCGCUCGGGCACUGCUGCUGCUCCAGGCGGCAGCCAUGGUUCCCUGCGAGGAACAACGCACGGGGGAGGCGCUGUGAGAGAGAGUUCAGGCAGGAGGAAGAGAAGAGAUGGGGCUGCAAGGGGGGGUCCUGCUAGAGGUGGUCGUCGGCAAUGACGAGGGACUCGAUUGGGAGCUCCUCUCCCGUUCCAGAUCGAGGAGGCUGGAUCGGGGCCGGGUUUGGUUGGCUGGGUGGGGAUCGAGAGGUGGCGUCUGGUUGGUGGUGGAGGAAAACAAGGAGAGGGCUGGUCUGGCGGCGGUGAAGGGACAGAUCCCAUAGGGAUUAGGGUUAGGCGUUUAUUUAUACAGUAAGAGGAUUUGGACAGGGGUUAAUUCGGUCCCUCCGAUCAAAAUCGAAUUGCCAAGAAUAAAUAGGUUAGGGAAGGCAAGGAAGAAACCGAGAUAUUUUAGGGAUGUUGGAGGAUGAUCCGGACCCAACAGUGAAGACUGAGCGGGUCGGGUUCGGGUAAGUCUCGGACGCGCGCGCGAGGGGUCUGUGGUUGUGCAAAGAGGGGUUAGGUGGUCGGACCAAAGGGAAACGAAAACACGAUUGGUCUCGGGGCGGUCAACAAAGUAAGGGGGGACGCGGCCACUACGAGCGGAUGCAAGUUAAAAAAAAACAAUGAUGGCAACGAGUGCCGAUGCAAUGCAAAUGAUGCAAUGAUGGAAUGCAUGACAUGAACAAAAAUGCAAAACAAAAUACAAAAACCCAACCACGGAAGAAAUAUCAUAUCGCAUCUCCGGAAAAGGCAAGAGUUGGAGUUACGAAUGUGGAAAGUUGUAUCCGGGGCGUUACAACACUCCACCACUACGAGAGGAUCUCGUCCCGAGAUCUAGGAUGGCACCAGAGAGAAAAGGAAGAGGAAGAUAAGAGGUAAACUAAGUUGCUUCUUUGACGAACGAGUGAAACCACGAACCUUGAGAGGUUGAGCAAUUUAAAAGAAAGAGUACAACAGAGAUGAACGAGAUUGCAAACAAUCCGUUAGAAAAGAUGAACAAGGAGUAUUACGAGAACUUGAAGGUUGCGAAGACAUGAAUCAAGAGUUUAA